This 439-nucleotide ribosomal RNA is filed under the name uncultured bacterium. RNAcentral's name for it is "partial 16S ribosomal RNA". It matches the Rfam family "Bacterial small subunit ribosomal RNA", at positions 339 to 795 of the family's 1533-position model. The record is from RNAcentral.
CUACGGGAGGCAGCAGUGGGGAAUAUUGGACAAUGGGCGCAAGCCUGAUCCAGCAAUGCCGCGUGAGUGAAGACGGCCUUAGGGUUGUAAAACUCUUUCGCUAGGGAAGAUAAUGACUGUACCUAGUAAAGAAGUCCCGGCUAACUCCGCGCCAGCAGCCGCGGUAAUACGGAGGGGACUAGCGUUGUUCGGAAUUACUGGGCGUAAAGAGUUCGUAGGCGGACUGACAAGUUAGAGGUGAAAUCCCAGGGCUCAACCCUGGAACUGCCUUUAAAACUGUCAGUCUAGAGACCGGAAGAGGUUAGGGGAAUACCUAGUGUAGAGGUGAAAUUCGUAGAUAUUAGGUGGAACACCAGUGGCGAAGGCGCCUAACUGGUCCGGUACUGACGCUGAGGAACGAAAGCGUGGGGAGCAAACAGGAUUAGAUACCCCAGUAGUC